CCUACGGGUGGCAGCAGUGGGGGAUAUUGCACAAUGGGGGAAACCCUGAUGCAGCGACGCCGCGUGGGCGAAGAAGUAUUUCGGUAUGUAAAGCCCUAUCAGCAGGGAAGAAGAAAUGACGGUACCUGAGUAAGAAGCACCGGCUAAAUACGUGCCAGCAGCCGCGGUAAUACGUAUGGUGCAAGCGUUAUCCGGAUUUACUGGGUGUAAAGGGAGCGCAGGCGGCAGUGCAAGUCUGGAGUGAAAGGCGGGGGCUCAACCCCCGGACUGCUCUGGAAACUGUACGGCUGGAGUGCAGGAGAGGUAAGUGGAAUUCCUAGUGUAGCGGUGAAAUGCGUAGAUAUUAGGAGGAACACCAGUGGCGAAGGCGGCUUACUGGACUGUAACUGACGUUGAGGCUCGAAAGCGUGGGGAGCAAACAGGAUUAGAUACCCUAGUAGUC
This 442-nucleotide ribosomal RNA is filed under the name uncultured bacterium. Its description in RNAcentral is "partial 16S ribosomal RNA". It matches the Rfam family "Bacterial small subunit ribosomal RNA", at positions 338 to 795 of the family's 1533-position model. The record is from RNAcentral.